This 266-nucleotide signal recognition particle RNA is filed under the name Actinophytocola xinjiangensis. Its description in RNAcentral is "Bacterial large signal recognition particle RNA". It matches the Rfam family "Bacterial large signal recognition particle RNA". Rfam says of the family: The signal recognition particle (SRP) is a universally conserved ribonucleoprotein involved in the co-translational targeting of proteins to membranes. Archaeal SRP consists of a 7S RNA and homologues of the eukaryotic SRP19 and SRP54 proteins. Lineage: Bacteria; Bacillati; Actinomycetota; Actinomycetes; Pseudonocardiales; Pseudonocardiaceae. The record is from RNAcentral. RNAcentral also lists the same sequence under 1 other name.
UCGUGCUAGGCGGGGAGGUAGCGGUGCCCUGUACUCGCAAUCCGCUAUAGCGAGGCUGAAUCCCUUUCCGAGGUCGCUCGCGCACUUGGCCUGACCUUCGUAAGUGGUGUUGACAUUUGGGUUCCGCGCAACGGAAACCCGUGAACCCUGUCAGGUCCGGAAGGAAGCAGCAGUAAGCGGGUCCUUCCGUGUGCCGCGGAGUUGCCUGGAUCGAGCAAACUGCGGAGGUAACGCAAGUGCAACAGUGAUCGAAGAAAGGUGCACGG